CAGCAGCAGCCGCGGGAAAACGUAGGGUGCAAGCGUUAAUCGGAAUUACUGGGCGUAAAGCGUGCGCAGGCGGUUAUAUAAGACAGAUGUGAAAUCCCCGGGCUCAACCUGGGAACUGCAUUUGUGACUGUAUAGCUAGAGUACGGCAGAGGGGGAUGGAAUUCCGCGUGUAGCAGUGAAAUGCGUAGAUAUGCGGAGGAACACCGAUGGCGAAGGCAAUCCCCUGGGCCUGUACUGACGCUCAUGCACGAAAGCGUGGGGAGCAAACAGGAUUAGAUACCCGUGUAGUCCCUGUCUCUUAUAC
This 304-nucleotide ribosomal RNA is filed under the name uncultured bacterium. RNAcentral describes it as "partial 16S ribosomal RNA". It matches the Rfam family "Bacterial small subunit ribosomal RNA", at positions 506 to 807 of the family's 1533-position model. The record is from RNAcentral.